UUUGCAAUGCGGAACUUCGCAUUCUUGUUGUGGACCCCCGGUUUCCUGGUUCGUGCCAUGACUCUUGGGUGUGGCAGCACAACCCACUGCGUGCACGCCUAGCCGCACAACUGCAGCCUGGCGAGUAUCUGCUUGGAGACUCAGGAUAUCCUCUCGAGCCAUGGCUGCUUGUUCCAGUACCUGGCAGCCAUGCCGGCACCACCUCUGAAGGCCACUACAACCAGGAGCACGCAUCCAUGCGCAAUGUUGUGGAGAGAUGUAUCGGGGUGUUGAAAAGCAAGUUCCGCUGCUUGCAGCGCUUUCGGACACUGCUAUACAGCCCCGAUAGAGCAGCGCGAAUCAUUUAUGCAUGCGUCGCUCUCCAUAACAUUGCCUUGGACGCGGGCGACUGGACAUUGGACGAUCAUGGUGGGGAAGUGCCACCAGCUGAGGAGCCAGAGGAGCCAGGAGACAUCCAGGUGCUGGCACCACACGACGUGUUCCUCAGAGGAAGGCAGCAGCGCAGCGCCGUUGUCAACCUUUUCUGAAGGACACAGGAAUGGUGCUCAGCGAUGUCCUGCGCUAUGGCGCGCACCUGUUCCAGG
This 584-nucleotide long non-coding RNA is filed under the name Dermacentor andersoni. RNAcentral's name for it is "uncharacterized LOC126526625". Lineage: Eukaryota; Metazoa; Arthropoda; Arachnida; Ixodida; Ixodidae. The record is from RNAcentral.